This 74-nucleotide transfer RNA is filed under the name Candidatus Melainabacteria bacterium. RNAcentral describes it as "tRNA-Pro". It matches the Rfam family "tRNA". From Rfam's summary of the family: Transfer RNA (tRNA) molecules are approximately 80 nucleotides in length. Their secondary structure includes four short double-helical elements and three loops (D, anti-codon, and T loops). The record is from RNAcentral. Lineage: Bacteria; Bacillati; Candidatus Melainabacteria.
CGGGAAGUAGCUCAGCUUGGUAGAGCGUUCGUUUCGGGUGCGAAAGGCCGCAGGUUCAAAUCCUGUCUUCCCGA